CGCGGUUUCUGGGCGCCAGGGUCUGCACCGAAACAUGGCAGAGGUUGGGUCCAAGUCAGUGCUGUUCGUGUGUCUCGGUAACAUUUGCCGGUCACCCAUUGCAGAAGCAGUAUUCAGAAAACUGGUAACUGAUGAAAAGGUUUCCAAUAAUUGGAGGAUAGACAGUGCGGCUACAUCCACCUAUGAAGUGGGGAACCCUCCUGACUAUCGAGGGCAGAACUGCAUGAGAAAACAUGGCAUCCACAUGCAGUACAUUGCACGGCAGAUUACAAAAGAAGACUUUGCCACAUUCGAUUAUAUACUAUGUAUGGAUGAAAGCAAUCUGAGAGAUCUCAAUAGAAAAAGUAAUCAAGUUAAAAACUGCAAAGCUAAAAUCGAGCUACUUGGGAGCUAUGAUCCACAGAAACAGCUCAUCAUUAAAGAUCCCUAUUAUGGCCAUGACUCUGACUUCGAGGUGGUGUACCAGCAAUGCCUUAGGUGCUGCAAAGCCUUCCUGGAGAAGACUUACUAGUUGGUCCUAACCACCACCAUUGAGCAGCUCAUUCAUCAGUACUGUGCCCAAGGGUGGUGGCAGUNCUUAGCCCCAUACCCCACCUCUCUUUUCAGCUGACUUANUGUAUAUCUUUAAAAUAAUUGUAGGUGGAAAUUAGGCAUAUGUUCANAAGGAUAAAAGCAUUUGAGUCAGACAGUUCGAGAUGUGGCUAAGCAUUCUUAGACUAACUAAACCUUUGACCUUGCCGCAAUUACAAAACAGUGGAACAAGCAAAUAGGGAACAACAACAACAACAAAAAACCCAGUAAAGUAAGAGUGACCCAGAAGGUCCAGGUCAGCCUCUGAGCUCGGCAAGCUUGGGUAGCCGGGUCUAAGUAGAGCGUGUGCAUGACCAGCACCCAGUGUGCCAUUUGCUUGCCGUGUACCUCUCUACUCUAGACUCUCAUUGUGACAAUAUCUCCAUUCACGGCAGCCUUCCAGUUAGCACUGGCAGAGUUUAAGCUCAGACACACUGAGGGUGUUGAGGGAUUUGAGAAAGGAGACGCUGGAUGUGCUGAUGGGCCUGGGACUCCAGCAGGCCGUCCUGGGCUGGACAGUGACACCCUGUCUAAAAGGGGAACAAAAAUAACAACGGAUGGGAGCAGCAGAUGGAUUAAGUUACCAUCUUCAAUCUUACUUGGUUUUUGUCUACUUUCCUGAGCUUUGUUCUUGUUUGAGCCACUUUGCUUUUUUUUUUAAAAAAAAAAAAAAGUAAGUGUGCCUAAAUACUGGUAUGUGUUUGUAAGUGUUCUCUCAUCAGCAAUUUACAAAGUUAUAGGCAAGCAUGAGUAAUUUUGGUGUAUUUUCACCUCAAAUUUAUAUGAAUGUAUGUCAGAAAGGAACGUGAAUUCAACUGGAAAGUUAUUAAAUACAACUGAGAUACAAA
Molecule: non-coding RNA, 1418 nt
Organism: Mus caroli (Ryukyu mouse)
Lineage: Eukaryota; Metazoa; Chordata; Mammalia; Rodentia; Muridae
Source: RefSeq, a predicted model, not a curated record